UCCCCCCACCCCAUUUGUACUCAAAUCCAGGAUGUGGAGCUUCCCCCCACCUCACCUUGGAUUCAAGUAAAUACAGCCUACCCUCACACAAAGAUCUACACAGGGAGGGAUUGAAAUGGCCUUGAAACAUGGAGUUUCCUUAUUUACCCAACAGGUGAGGAGAGUUCAGAAGAAUUGCAGAGGAAGCAGAGGUGUCUGUGAAAGGGAAUCUUUCAUUUCCACUGGGUCCUGCUCAUGUGUCCUUCACAUGACUUUAAUUAGAAUUGUGUCUGAUCAAAAUUAUCAGACUAACAGUUUUAUUCUGCUGCACUGCUUAAUACACAAAUAAAAAUCUGAAGAGUUCUUUGAACCUUUUAACCACUUAGUCAUUCACAGCCAUGUUUGAAACCGAAAGGCUUUCCCCAGAUUUAGACACCUGUAUUUAUAUACCUAAUAUACAUAUGUGUUUCCACUUCUUUUUUUUCUGCCUCCUUUUUCAAAGGUCGUGAGUACCAGCAAUUCCUUUUGAUCUUGACACAUCUCUUUAGGUUUCCAAGUUAUCCCACUGGUGCCUGAUGUAUCUGGUAAGUGCUUAUUGGUGUCACCACUGGAGUUACAGAAUAUAUUUUAGUUUAUAUUUGUAUUAAGUAAUCAUAGUUUUGGUUAGGAAAAAAAUUGGAUAAGUAUAUUUUUUGGUAUUUUUUAAAAAAGAAACUUGUUAACCACCAGUUUCUAGACUCUGCAGAAAAUUGUAGACAUGGAUCUUUUAAAUUUCAUGUUAUAGUAGUUUUUUCAACUGUUUUGGAUUUUGAUUGAUUUUUAUUUUUAUCAGUUGCCUUGUCCCAAGGACAUCCAAAGAGAGAGGAGGUAUUAAUACCAUCUCAUUUGAAGUAACACAGCUGAGGUAGGUUGUGUGCUGCCUAUUUUUAAUCAUGCUAAUGCAUUUUGUUAAUCUGAUAUCUAAAAAGUGCUGAACUCUAGCUUUGGAGAAAGUAGAGGUAAAGCUUGGGCCCACAGAUCUAUUGUUAUUAACAUUUUUAUUAACUUUAUGGAGGAUAUUAUGUGGAUAUUCCAGUGAUGGAUUUCACUAGGAGAUGACAAUAAAUGUUGAUGCAAAAGAAUGUGUCCACAAGGCGGGUUGAGUAUUCUUUUUCAAAGCUCUAGCUUGCUUCCAUUAGCAUAAUACAUUGUGAAUCAUGGAUCCACUGUUCAUCACAUUAUCCACAUUGAACAAGGAUAAUAUAAGCAACAAAACUAUCUAUUAAAUAUGUGUCUGACUUUAAAGUAAAUGCAAUUUGAAUCUCCUGAGUGACUCAAAAAUGGGAUUCUAUUUCAAGGUAAGCUGCAUCGGUCAUCUAAGACUUAGUUCCUUCUCAGCAAUUUAUAUUUGGCACUUCACCGUGAAACUUCCUCAUAACUUUCCCCUUGCUUGAGAUGUUCUUGACAUGCCAUAUUUACCUACAUACAACUCAAGCCAUUUUUCCCAACCUUCCAAAAUUGGGAUGCGUGUCUUUAGUGGGAAAGCUGAUUUUCUUUGUAAACAUUUUAAAUUGUGCUUUUUCAGUUCUGUACCCUGGCAGUUUUGACACAGUGCCACAUGUGUAGCUUAUAGACAAAUCUGACCACUUUAAUUAUGUAAUUUAGAUCUCAUUGCUCCAUUUAGCUACAUGGGAACCAUAGGCAAGUCUAAAGCCCUUGUACUGCACUAUGAGCUAAGUGAGAUUUUUAUCACAAUUAAAUUUAAGCUUAGCUAUUACCGUUUGCAGUAGACAAUUGGGUUGAAACUAUUGCUGACUCUAAGUAAAGCCACCAGCAGUUAAUGUUAAAUUGUACUCUUGCAACACUGUCCUGGAAAAUUACCAACCCAGUAACAAAUCAACUUUUUCUAUGAAAAAAAACUGGCAUGAAGAACUGAAAGAUACUAGCCUGUCAAAAAGUAGUUAUUAUUAUGACUGAGUUAAUAUAAUUUUGUAGUAUUACCACUUAAUCUGUCUUGGAUUUUUUUUCUUAAUCAGGUUAGCUAAUUAGUAUCCACGCCUAAUCUGGGUUUUGAAGUGCAGCUUUUCUCUGCUGCUUUCUGGUUUCUGCAUGAGUAUGGAUCAGUUUUUAUGAGGGUUUCCUUCUAGUUCUUUCUUACUUAACGUGUGAAAAUAUUAAGUGUAGAAUGUAGGAGAUCUAGAAAGUGCGUUUUGGAAGGCAUGAUCAAGUAUUACACAUUCGUAGAUAGGUGUGUUGACUGACAUGCAUGAAAUAUAGAAGAAGCUGAGGUUUGGGGUUUUUUUAAACUGAACAAGUAAUUUAGUAUCUCUGGGUGUGGAUCUCAACCUGCCAGGCCCAAAGGGUGGAACACAAUAAAAACAAAGGAAGGAAACUUGAGAUGUUGUAUGAUUAAUUCGUUUUAUAUGAGUUGUUUCCCACAAUCUUUGUAAUUAUUCAAUUUUAUUACAUUAAUUUCUAAUAAAAUGGUAGGAUGGCAGUAGCUGUUUGGACAUGAGACAAUCUGAGAGUUUGUCAUCAGGAAAAGGAUAUCACUUCUAGAACUCCUUUUAGGAAAUACUUAAUAGAGCUCAAGAUUUCACUGAGAAAUUUGCUCACAGAAGCAGCAGAUUAAAGUAUAUAAUAUGGGAAAAUUUACUGCCUGCUUUGGUUUGGUUGACUUCUUUUAAUGAUUUAAAAAUAUUUCCUUGUGUUUUGUAAUUUUGCAAUAUAAUACACAACACCUAAAACUCAUUAAACAGUAGACAUUUUGCUAAAGUCAAAUAAAUAAGCUAUUAUUUGACACAGUGCAGAAGCUAAGCACAGAAAGAACAAUUUUCCUCUUUGUAGACCACAAAGCCUGCACCUUACAAAAAAACCCUUUUAUUAAAAAGGUAAUUUACUUGACUGUGUUGGUAUAAGGUCAAAUCAAGACUUUAUCAGAGACUCAACAUUUGGAAAUCAAAGCUGGUAAAAUUAAGUCUAUCAAAGUUAAUUUUCUUUCAAGUGUAAGAAGUUUAGCUGCAGCUAAUCAGCAAAUUUUCUAUAUUUCUUUAAGAUUUUUAUAGCACCCAUCACUCUUUCCAAGCAUUUUCUUGGUAAAUUAUAUCUGCAGUAAAAGAAAUGAGAACUUGUUAUAUAUCCACGUUGAAAAGGAUCUAUGGAAAUAUAAAUGUAAUUACAUAACAAUUUUUAUACAUGCUGUCUGAGCUCUUUUCCAAUUGCCCUUGGGUGUUGUGUGGGUGUGGAAAGAAGUGCAGUUUUACAUCACUUACCCAGAUGACCUGGUGUGAUGUAGAAAGCCAAAGUUCUUCACCUAUAAAAGAGGUGCAAUGUCAAAUAAAAUCAGACUCCUCAAUGUGUUA
Gavialis gangeticus (Gharial) is the source of this 3320-nucleotide long non-coding RNA. RefSeq lists it as uncharacterized. The transcript is spliced from 2 exons. The record is from RefSeq and is a predicted model, not a curated record. NCBI's taxonomy places the organism in Eukaryota, Metazoa, Chordata, Crocodylia, Gavialidae.